GGCCAAAAGGAGCCCCAUCCAUCUAUCACACGUGUAGACAAAGGGGGACUCCACAACACAAAGCUAGAUGUGCCCUCUUAAACUUUUUACCACGACGCACGGCGACGCGCGCACAGCCCAGCACAGCACCCACAGGUGAGUUGUCUCCUGUCUUGUUUUGCUUGCACCCCUGCUGCGAUUGUCGAAUUUAUUUCCAGUGAAAAGUUGCUGCUGUAGUUGGUGCGUCAGCGCUCAAACUUGAGCACAAAGCAGAGGAGAAAGGGAGAGAGACAUAGAGAAACACAGGCAGCGAGGAGAGAGAGCGCGAGAGGAGCGGUCCCCUUUUCCUUUGUCUGAUGCGGGGCGCUUUGAGGAGAGAACUUAAGGGGAUGCUCAGGCACGCAUCUUCAAAACGCUCAAUAUUAAUCAGCAGAUCAUACUUUGAAAUUAUCGAAAGAGAGCUUUUGUGAAGGUGAGAUGGAGUUUGUGUUGCUGACGGAUCUUUGUCUCAUGGGGAUGUUGCGGCGCACAAGACAAAGCAACUGCCUGUCAGAAGUUUGCGGAGAAGAGUGCUUUUACGCACACUGCAAAAAGACAAAAUAUGACAAUUAUUAGUUGAUAAAGAGUUUGUAAAUAGUUUUCUCCUCUUGCAGUUGUUUGCUGACAGCGGUGUUUGCGGUCUAGGCGAAGUUGCCAGCGCUCUGUGGGGAUUCAGAACAAUGCAAUCAGGUGUAAAGUCUCAAGAAACAACUGAAACAGAAUCAAACUUGUUGCACGGAGAAGAAAUAACGCUUUAAGGGAAGAAAGGGUAUUGACAAAAUAGUUUCGUUUGGAUAAUCUCCCAGCAACUUGUUGUAGUUUAUUUGAGACAGAGCAACAGGUAUAAGUCGCUGCAGCUUCUUUGUUACAGUAAAGGCUCCUUUGUUCUCAGUCCAUACAAAGAAAAGCAGCAGAAAGGAGCGCAAAUCCCACAAGGAAACAAGUUUUUCUUACGCUUUCAAUGAUAUUCAGAGGAUGAAAAAUAUUUUUAAAUUAUUUUUUCCACCCAAAAAGUGUUGAAAAAGCCUUUAUCUCCCCCUUUCUUUAAAUAUUUAAAAACAAACCGGAUCCUUCUGAGAUAUAAAGUUAUUGACUUGACGUUUAUUUCUGGAGAGUAACUUCGAUUUAAUCCGGUGUCUUUCACACUAAAGGAACAAGUUUACACGAUUUUUACAAACUUUUUCCAACAUAUGAAGGUGUGGCCAAACAACUUGUUUGAAUUUGCUGCAUUCCAUUGUACAAUAGCCCUACCCUUAAACUUUUUAGACAACAUAGAACAUAGAAAGCACUUUUUAACAUUUAUUGAAUUGUAAAAUUAACUGAAGUUUGCAUUUUAAUAAAAAAGGUUUUUCUGAAAAGUUAUUUUUAACUUUUUCAUCUAGUUUUCUAAGUCAGAGCAACUUUUACCCAGCCCAUUAUACGGCAUUUGGAGUUUGUAGUUUAAUUGUAAUUACUCCUCUUAUGGAUUCUCAUUUUUGUUGUAGGAAAAUUUGUUGAAAUAAGUUUUAUCUUCACCAUUUUCCCUUUCCCCCUCUAUUCCUCCAGGAUCUGUCUUUAGAUGGAGUUUAGCACCAGAUUACCCAGCAGAGCGUUUUCUCCUGUGGGCGUUUGAGGAAAUACAAAUAUGUGGAAAUCACAUGGAAGAUGUACCAAAGGCACCUAUCAAGCAGCUUUGGAGACGCGGAGGCGGAUUAGGAGACUGUGCAGUUUUUCUUUUGGAGAAGGUGAAGACUCAUCUCUGAAGGAUUUAAACCUCAGCAGCAGCAGUGCCAGGCAGGAUGCAUUUUAAGCACACUUGGAAAUCUAAAACUCGUGGAGGACCUUUGAGGAUUAUAAAAAUGUGCAGCUUGUCUCUCCACAAGACUCAUCCAGAGCUGAGGCCCAAAGUCACUCCGAAAGUGGGCUGUGAUCCUCCUCGGGCCCUCUGCGUUGUGGGUAGGUGAUCAUACAUUUUCCUGAGAUGUUACACUUGCUCAAACACUUGUUUGUGGGGCUGUCUUGCUCACUUUGAAGCAGAAGAGACACAUGUGCACAAACGUUACUUGUUCCUCAAAAUCAGUUGUUCCAAAAGAAAAGUGUGGGCCUUUUAUCGCAACAUUUGAGCACGGCUACUUGUGGAACAAUAAAAAAAAAAUACAGCUGAAGUUUGACUAAUUUGUCUCUAAUGAUUUAAUGCCCAAAAGCAUUUUAAAACCACUUUAACAUACAACCCUGCUACUAUUAAGACAACUGUAUCAAGUGAUUAAGUAAUUCACAGCUUUAACACGAGCUGAGCAGCCACUCAUUCACUCAGUUUACACCACAACUGAAAAUCCAAACUGCAUUGAAUGGAUAGGCCUACUGAAACUUUUCCACUACCUCCAGUCGCAUUGUUGGAUGCCAAGACUCGAAGUAAGGGCUUCCCACACUUACUUACAUACUUGUUGCACAGUCAAAAAACACACUGGGCCAACAGCUCUCCAUGAUCACUGGUCUACACUGUCAUAUCAUGCUGUAAAUACAUAUAAGAUCAAAUUUAUGUUUUCUAUCUGUGAACAUCACUUCUUGAUGUCCUUGAAUUAUAGAGAAGUUUUCAUAAGUUUUUCCACAUUGAUAUGUUUAGCACUAGGGCAGCAUCUGCAAAGUUUUUGUCUCGGCAGACUUUCUCACUCUUUGAGGGAAGUUUUGUUAUUUUUUGGGCCCUUGUUGAUACUUUCACUAAUCGUGACACUACUUUAGUCCAUGUCUGGAUUAUAUGAAAAAAUAUAAAACAACACUGUUAAGUACUGAUAUCUCAACAAAAAGUUAGACUGCUUAUUUGCUAAAACUCACAUUUUAAUGUCUAACUGCUGUUUAUCAAGACAAUAUCUGUGCAGCAUUUUGAAUUUUCAACAUGUUUUUCCAGAUAAAUAUAUAAGUAUAUACUAUACUAUAUACUUAUAUACUAUAAGUUUUUUUUUUUUUAUUUGCUCAAAUUAAUCUGAGGGUUGCAGAUGGCCAGCUUCAGCUUUAUCUGAGUGCAUCAAAGUUGUGAAAGUACAUGGCUGUUAUAUUCAACAGGUGAGAUGUAACCGUGUUGAGUGACAAAAGGCUGAUUUUCUUUUACAUCAAAUCAUUUUUCAUUACAUUAAAUGCAUUUUCAUCAGGAAUAUUUAUAAUUACUGUGACUUUGUGAUUGGUGCAGCCCUCUGUUUGUGAGUUUACUUGUGUUUUUAGUGUGUUCUUUGAUUAACAGGGAUACUGCAGCAAUACUAUAUUGUCAUAAACCUGAUUGUGGUGUUGUUGAUCUUUAAAUUGAACCCAGUCGCAGCAAUGUUUCCUAGCAUCUAGAGUUCAAUUAGGAGACAUGAUUGGAAAGAGUAAGCUAUAAAAUGAUGACUCUGCACGUCAAUUGUUCUUUUUUUACGCAGCAGUUAAUUUAAACAAGCCUGCUGUAUCUUUGCUAUAAAAAGUUAUGAGAUUCAAGCAGUCCUGCUAACUCCUGCCUGUGUGAGAGCCUGAGGGAGAGAGAGAGAGAGAGAGAGAGAGAGCAACACACUCUCCUUAUCAAUGAUGUCAUUAACAGCCAAUCAGAGCAUGCUUGUCAGCAUCCAAGCUCCGCCUCCAGUCUGUGCAUGGCAGCCCACAUGGUCCUGCAGCAUCACAUUUUUGCCAUGCUUUUCUCUGCUGCAGAGAGGCAGCAGCAGGAAAGAGAUGCUGCUCUGGGCUGUGUACUCUGAUGUUAAUCUACCAUGUCUGCUCGGAGACAGCUUGUUUACCACAGUAAACAUAUGCAAGUGAGGACAGAUUUUUUUUUUCUUUUUGCAUCGUUGAUAAGCCAAAUUUACAUUGCACAUACCCCUAAAACAUUAGCUUGAAAUGAGAGUAUGGGGAAAGAACACCCAGACUAAUGAAGAUAAAUGAUCAGGAUGCAAGGCUCAGCACAGUGAGGGAGGUGCUAAAGAAGCAGACUAAUUCAUGUUUCUACAUAGUUUUCUAGAGAAAAUAUUCUGUAUAAAGAGAGACAGAUUUAAUUAAUACCUCAAUCCAGUGCUCAACAUCAAGAUUAUAAAGUAAAAACCCAAAGUAUAAGUCAACUGAUCAACCAUUUGGUCUGCACUUGUUAGCAGUUGAGCUAUUAGACUGGGGUUAAAACAGCAUUGACCGUGGCCCCCUGCCGCUUGAGUGGAACAGGCUCAGGUCACCGCCUGCAAAUGACCGGAUCAGUGAGAAUGUGGGUCAGUUAGCAGUGACACACAGGUGGGACAGAUAUAGGUCAGUGGUGGAGUCAGGGUACUGAUGACUCAUGUGUCUACGGUGAGCAGUGGCAGAGGAUACAAAAGAGCAAAGAGAAAGAGAGAAAAAGGUCGUUCAGUAGCUGAAAUGUCGAGAGAGAAAAUUUGUCCUUUUUGAGUGUGUCAGAAACCAGAGGAGCUGGAUUAUAGCUUAUGAGACCCAAGAGAGCAUGUCAGUCUGAUCUUGUUUUUUUUUUCUUUCUGUUGUACAUGUUCAUGUGUGAAUGUUAUAUUGGACACAGUAAAAUCUGAUUAUUGCACUCUAAAGCACACUUUUGGCUGAUUUUAAUCAUAGGAAUAGCAGCCCACUGCAAGAAUGCUGAUACUUUACUUUUUUCAUUUUCUAUAUGAACAUCUGCAUGUGGUCCAUAAGGAAUCAUUCGGGGCUCUAUAACUCUCUCACUCUGCUAUUUACCUACACAUAAUACAGUGCUGUGCAGAUUCAAUCCAAUACCAAGUUAAUGAACUUGAGAGUAAAACAGAAACAUCAGCUUAAGCAUAACUAAUCAUAGUGACAGGCCCAGCACUGAGCUCUUAAUAGGCAUCGUUUCUGCUACAAUACAGUCCUCUCCACUGUAUGCAGCUUAAUUACAUUGCUUAUCUGUAAUGCUAUUAUCAAGCACACUGCAGUUUUCAUAACAUUUGCCAUUUGCUGGACGCUUUAUGAGAGCAUGCGUUUUUUAUUCAGUGCAGAUGUCCCAGUGGGAGUUGAGCUUCAUGUCCUAAUCCAGUGAGUUACACUGGGGCAACAUUAGGACAGCAAUCUGUGGCAUCUUCCAGCUCUCAAAGUCUCAAUAUCCCUCUAAGCUGGGAUGCUCAUUAAAAUGGGCAAUGGUUUCACACCAUCUCUUUCACUGCAGCAUAUGCACAAGUAAAAUCUGUGUCACCAUAAUCUCCCCUCCAUCUGUAUUUGCUAUUACACUCAUAUAAAGUGCUUCAUUUGGUUUCUGCUGCAGUCUGAUUAGGACUACAAAGCAAAGCACUCGAGCAUUGAGCAUUUACACAAAACCUACAGCAAUAGUUUAUGGUUGGUGUUCUUCCAUUGAAGUUAUACUUCUGCAGCGCAUUGCAUGUCAUAAACUGGUCAGAUGUUAUGCAAACUGCAUUAGACGACAACAUCAGGCCUAGAAUAACUAAUCACUACUGUAAGCCUAAUUCUCCCAGACAUCCUGUGGUCAGCCUCAGGAAAGCUAUCAGGUUUAGUUUUAGCAUUGCUAACUUCUAGCUUCUGGGCAUUACAGCAUGAAGUCCCUCAUAGAAAACAUUCAAAUAGAUCCAUGUAUACACUAAAUGUUUUUUCUGGUUCAUCACACAACUUAAUGAUAACAGUAGGGGUCCAACAUGUUGUUGCAGCAUUAACUACAUGCACAUGAAACACUGUUGACCUACUACUGUGUAUGUUUACACUGUACCUCAUUACGUUCGGAUCACUUUUUUUGCAUGCGUAAAUGUAGUGCUUGAUGCUCGAUGAAAGCUCUGACAGAUGGACAAAUUCACUCUGAGUUGAAUCUUAGAAGUGGAACAGCCGCUCAAACAGAUUUUGGAUGUUUUAUGUACUCAGUGUCUUUACAGAAAGUUUGACUAAAUUGAUCAAGAGGAGCAAAUACUCAAACGACUGCAAUAAUAUCAUUUCCUUUUCUCGACAAGCUGAAUUUGGGUUGAUGCUCCCUUUGUGCGCAUCACAGAAUCACACAGCCCACUACACUGUGAGUGGAGUACAGUGAAUUACAGUGCAGUAAAACAUUAGGCCCACCAUUACUAAUCAUGACGACAGCUCUAAUUCUCCGAGCUACAGGCAUUCUGUGGUCAUCCUGUUGCAAACUAUCAGAGCUUAGUUUUAGCACUCAGUGCCUGUAGCCGCGAGAUAAGUUAACGUGCUCCGCUGGCAUUCUAAUACAGGCCCACACUGGGGGACGGGAAUAAAUUAUUUCUUUAUGACUGCGCACAAGGCACAGCUUUUGAAGGAGGAAUAGAGAGGGAACAGAGGGAGAUGAAGUAAGGAGAAGAGACAGGGGGGUAAAUGAUGGGUUAGAAAGAAAAGAAGGGAGAAGUGGAGAGGAAAGAAGACGGAAUAAACUAUAAGAACAAGACAGACAAGAUGUGUUAUAGUGCUUUUCAUUUCUUUCUCUUUUCACUUUAUAUUAUUUCCUCACCAGGAAAGAACACUUGUCUUUUUUUAUUUCUUACCUUGACUUUAUGGAAAACAGUCCUCCUGAGUCUCCCUUUAUUUUACAGCCAAUUGUAGCCUCAACUGAGAUGUCACAUCUGAAAAUAAUAUAUAUGUAUUUUUUUAUCACUUUGGCCUGAAGACCAUUUAACCUGCAUCCAACACUGUGUGACCCUUUGAGAGAUUUAGUCCUCAUUAGAAAUUUUCAAAUGAUGUGAGGAGUAGCUGGCGGAUAAUGAUGCGGGUAAAAGACACCACUUUAGCACAGAACAGAUCAUAUUUUAGGCCUCUGAAAGAGAUGAGGACUCUAUUCUGUGAUUCAGCUCAAUAUUUACUGUUUUCAUGUCUGGGUGCAUAAGUUCAUGUCCUCUGUUGUUCUGCUGUGUGUCUGGACUUUUCUGCUGACUGCACAUUUGCCCUCUGGGAUCACAGUGAAUUUAAAAGCAAACCACAGACAAUAACAUGACAAAUCAGUCGGAAAAUGCGAAAAAGGUAAGCGCCAAAUCAGAAUUAACUGGAUGAGAGCUCCCGAGCUGAGUUUUCUUUUGUUUUUGUCAACAGGUUUAAACUCUAUUUAGGAGUUAAACUUUCUGUUUCUCCUUGGGUAUACACACUGAGAGAAAACUAGCUCAGGAGAGAUGGAGCUGUUUGUCUGUCUGUCUACCACAGGUCAACUUAUUACCUCCAUAAAUGCACAGCAUGUUGCUGUCUGGGGCUGCACUGAUAAUCCCUCUAAAGACUGGGGUUUUAUCAAAGCUAAAUCUGCUGCCCACACACACACACACACACACACACACACACACACACACACACACACACACAGUAUCCACAAGGAAUAUCCACAUGGGACACACAAUAACAGAGUAGCCACACACAGACAUACAUACAAAAACAGACUGUCCCGGUAGACAGACAGACACGUGUAAAGACCAGGAUUUCAUCACAGACAAAUCUGUUAUUGUCUGGCAGUUAAGAGAUUAAGAAGCAGUCAUUUUAUAGAUACAUACACACACAUCCAUCCACCCAUGGGUCAUUUGAGGAUGAACACCAGCUUGCAUAUUGAGGCUUAAAGGUGAUACCGUCACUGAUGGGUUUUAAUGCUGUGAUUAAUUAUGGUUAAUGUUUUGAUAAGAAGUCGGUAAAUCAUUUGGGUGAUAGCUUUCAGAUCUGUGCUUGAUUUGUUUCAUUUAAUAUGCAGGCAGUCCUUUUACUGUGCUGUUUUUGUCGGAUUUAAAUUAUGAGCAGGUAUUAUUCACCUCAUUGUCCAUAUAUAUGAAGGCUUCAUUGGUCCGAGCUAGAGAUGUAAUACAUUUACCUCUUGUAUCAUGUUUGUAUGUAUGACUUUUUUUAAAUCUCAAUCACUUCUUCUGGUUAAAUAAAAGUUGGAUUUAAAAAAUACGUUUUUUUAGUUUUUAAUGCACAGUUCUGCAGAGAGCUGAAAUAAUUCUACAAUCUACCAUGUUUACUUGUUUCAGAAACAAAAGCCAAGAGCAAUGACCCAGUGACUCAUUGCCGUUCUUCACACACUGUUAUCCCUUCAACCCUUUUGAGGACAGAACAAAAUGCUUGAGCAUACACUCCAAUAUGUGGAUCCUCCCACAGUGGGAGGAUUAGGACAGCUGCCCAUGGCUGUCAACAUGUUGUGUGUGGUUGACCCUCCUCAGUCUGGUAAAAACCUGUGACUCCUUUCUUUUCAUCUUUCCUGGUACAGGGAUGGGUGUGGCUGGUGGUGAAUGUGAUGCAGACAUACUUAAAACAGACCUUUUCUUGCCAGCCCCCCAAAGUUAAAGUCUAAAUGAGCUGAUGUGUGGAUGCAAAUGUGCAGAACAUCAAUAGCCAAGAUAUUUAGGAACAGAAAUUGAGUAAAAUAUGUCACAAGUUUGUAUGUGACAGGACUCUUCAUUCUGAUCUGACUUAAGUAUAAAAAGGAGUACUGCUGCUGAUAAGGCUGACCAAUCUGUAUGAACUUAAUGAGGAAUGUGCAGCAAAUAAGGAAAUGGAGGACAAAAAGACAAAACAGCUGCCUUUAAAGUAACCAUGCUUGACAAAAUGCACAAACAGAAAACAGACAUGAAGAAAAAUGCAGUAAAUUAGGUCAUUACAGUGUUAAGAGUGCUGACUAGAACAGUGAUAGCUUUUAAGUGCAGCUUAGUUUAGCUACAGAGCUCAAUUAGCCAAGCAGCUGCAGGAAUUUUAACAUUACUCCAUGUCAUUAAACUACGCCACACAUCUUCUCAUCAAACAAUAAUUGUCAUUGAAUUUAGAUGACGUUUAACUGGGGAUAAAACAGUUCACAUCUGUACAACUGAGUACUAAUAGAGGCCUGGAGCACUUCUGCUGCCAUGGCUUCAUUUGCAGGGAUUUUCUUUCGCAUAUGAUGGUGUGGCUCCAAAAUUUGCAUCCUUUUAUAUAUCUGCAGUACAUUUGCUGUUUAUGCUAUUAUUUUGGCUUUUUGGGCACCUCUUUUCUUGUGUUGUGUUUAUUAGUUUCCAUUGUUACAAAUUGUCAGACUUUUGCACAUGUUUAUGAAUGAGCGUCACUCUUGACUUUGCAGCAAGUUUCUGUAAAUGCAGAUUAUUUAGGCCCUGGCAGCCACUAAAAAAGAAGUUACACCUUAAUGCGUUUAAUAAGGUAGUUUUACUGCCAGCCACUUCAUAGAUGAUAAACUUUACUCUAAGGGCCGGCUAUUGGUUGUGACUUACUUUAUGAUUCCCAUCAUAUGCCUGAUGCAUCUCUAAUUUGAGUUCAGGAAGCAGCUUAGCAAUCAUGUACCAUGAAUACAUUGAAUUUAUGUCGGCUUAAGCUGAACUUUCAUUGAGAAUCUUGCAGUGUUUCCAGUCCAAGUCAAGGCGAUGUUGUCCAGUUUUUUUCCAGAAUAUGUCUGAUUUGGACAUAAAUAUUAAACAAGAUAGUACAAGGGUAUCUACCUGCUCUUUCCACUCAUAAACACACCCAUAGUGAUGUUGUUUCACCUUUCCACAGUUGCUGCAUUUCUUUUUAAAAACUCAAUCUGUCAGCUCGGAAGUUAGGCGUCUCUACGUUAGAUAGUAACCUGCUUUAACUGUCAGUCACAGCCCAGUUUAAGCACAGACUCGAGUUGCAGCCAGCCAUAGUCUGCAAACUGACAGGAAAAUGAAAGCCUCCUGUUCUGUUUGAAACUGGCAUCCUCUGAUUUUCCCUGAGAACGUGUAAUAUUUUGACAGUAAUUAUUUAAAAAUAUUUACUUUGCGAGACAAAAAAAGAUCACAGCCAAAUAGCAAAUAUUUCAUAAAGGGAUAAAAGCGCAGGAGGAUGACUGAGGAUGCGCAGUGAUGUGAAUCCAUAAGGGAAUGUGGUAAAUGAGCAAAAACUCUACUUCUGCUGCCCUGGAAGUGUCACUUUAGAGUUUCCUUUUUCUGUUUUUUUAAUGCCUUCUUUCUCUACUCUUUUUUUUUUUAAGAUGAUACGAUACAAUCUCAUAAUUUGUCCUUACAUAUCAAGUGAUGUGAAGGAUAGUGAUUUCUCCUUUUUCAAGUCAAGGACUUGCUAUCCAUUUGGGAACUUCAAAUAAAACCCAAAUAUAGAACCAGUAUAUAAAGUUUAUUUUACACCGUCCCACUAGUAUAAUACUUAUCCUCUCAAAUGUGGCUAUUUGAAGCUCAGAGCUAUUUUCAUAGAGGUACCGCCAUUAGUUGUAAUCUCUUACAGAUCCAGCUGUCAGAUUACAGUAGGGUGUCAUAUCAGUGUUAGACAGAAAGUGUCCUGACUUGAAUACCUUCAGUAAUAUCUUUGUGCGUGUUUACGUGAUAUCGUGUGCUGGAUGCUCGCCACGGUUAGGGCAGUGAUAGUCGAGCAGGUUAAUCCAAAAUAUUAAUAUCUGUCCUAUCUCUUCUUUUUACAGAUUAACACCUUGUCAGGGUUGUGGUUGACUAGUGCUGAAUCAGAUCCGUUCUGAUGGAGAUAUCUUUGAGCUUAGCUCGAUGUGGUGUGAUAAAUCAGUCGAUAAGUCAGAUUAUGUCUCACACUAGCUGAGACUGCAGACUCUAAACUGUCCCAGUGUCUGCCAUAGUCGCCGUAUCACACCAAUCCCCUCUACUUUGAAUACAUACAUACAAUACUGCAUUCAGAAACACGAGAUUACCUUUUUUUAGACCAAGAUGACCAUGUGCGAUGACGAUCUUUGUGCUGUCUGGCUCAUUGCUGUCUGUCCUUUGAGAGAUAACACAUAGACAGUCAUGUUUCUGUAAGAAUGCAGUCUGUGACCCUAGCUUGUAUUAUUUUCUUCCAUAUCAAAUUAACUGUUGUGUGGCUGUGAUAUGGACACUGACGGUAUCAGUACACAGCAAACCAACCCUGAACUUUAUGUUUGUGUUUUGGCCCUGUGUGUGGACAGAACAGUCAAUCAUUCAAGCGGGAAAUGUCAAGAAUCUUCGCCAUGGAAAAUGUGUAAAAGGGAAAUUUGGCUGUGCUCUUGUAUCUGAUCAUUUUUUUGACACCUAGCCUGCUGCAGCGGUUUCAGACAUUAAAAGUAACCUAAUUACUUCAGUAAUGGUGGUCUUGUUUGCUUUUGAAGGCUGCAGAAACAUCUGACUGAAUAGCAGUCUGUUUCAUAACCAGCUAAAUCUCUUCACAGGAGCUCUAACUCAGUCUCAGAAAAACUUUUCAGUGUAUAAAUUAUACCACAGACACAUCAUAUCCUAUCGCUAUUUCCCUUUAUCUGUCUGUACAUCAAAACCCAAUCUCCUCUAAAAUGCAAAUGUUGCUGAUAUGUUAAUUAUAAAGCAGUAUGAGGGUACAAACACAUGAAAUAAAAUCACUCCAAACUGAACAGACAUUGCCUUUUCCUUUUUUUUUUGCUUUGUUUUUCAAUUCUGCAUCAGGAUCCAGUCAUGUCCGGGAAUCUCUGUGUACACAGGCAUGCCAUAUAUAGCCUUGAUGUUGAUGCGAAGAGUUGGUCUUCCUGGAGGCAGAUUAUGCCUCAGACUAUGACCGCCUUCCUGUAAGAGUAUCUGCACUGACACGAUUUUCUAGUCCAGCGCCAGGCAUAAUCUGAGUGCCUGGAAAUGGGCUGAAUAAGCCCAAGUAAAUGCCCUGCUCGCAAUAAUGUAGUAGCUCCAUGCUGGAUACAGGCUGUACGCUGAGCACUGCUGGAUACAGGCCCACUAACUUAUACAACAUGGCACACAUCAGUUAAGUAGGAGUUUUGAAAUUAAUUUGAAAGCACUUUGAAAUAAGUGCCGUACUCAUUUACAUAAAAAUAUCUAUUUUAGCAUAUGGUAAGCUCAUUAAGUCAUCUUUUCACCUGCAGUAAUCCCUCACUAAUGUGUCCAAUUUGUAUAAGGUCAUAGGAAAAUCCAGAUUGCAACUUAAAGCCAAGGCUUUUAUAGACAAUAUAAAAGAUUGAGCGGAGAAUAAAGGACGACAUAAUUCCUUUCAGAUCGUUUCAGAUGAGGUCAAUGCGUAAUCUCUGGUGGGAAUGUGGCUGAAUAAGGCCAAGUCAUGCCCUGCUCUUAUUAUUAUGCAUCUAAUUACUAUGCAUCAGCCGUUAGCUCUUCUGUGCUUUGCUGUGUUGCCAGUGCCAGUUCACAAGGUCAAAUUCAUGCUACUUGUUAAUGUCCUUGCUGAAUAAAAUUAGACUGUGACUCAAACUGUGUGUAAUAUGCAUGAGUGUGUGUGUGUGUGUGUGGCUUGCUCAUAAUCUUAACACACUUGCAUACCCAUCCUACACACAGUGUUUGUCGUAGCCUGUGGCGAUGUUCACAACACCUUAACAUUAAGAAACCGCUCCUAUUAAGACUAAACAUCGAGCGCUGAAUCACAAUGGACACGGGUUCAUUCCCAGACAAGGUUAAGGCUUUAUCUUCAGCCGAGAAAUGAGCUGAGUAAGCAUGAGUCACACUUUCAAUUAUGCAUUAGCCUGUUAGCUUGUGCGGUUUGACUGACAGGCCAUGCUGGCUUUCAGAUAGCUGUCAGAGGCUAGACUUACAAGUGACCCCUUAAUCUAUCUGCACGCUAUCUUUGCCCAGAAACAAGAAAAUGUCAAAAAUAACCAUUAAAAAGGGGGGAAAAAAAUCCCUGCUGAAUCAACAUUCACUCAACUUCAUACUUCAAUGGACAGUUAUGUAUAACUACUCUUACUGGUCUACUAGCACUAUGUAAAAUUCAGGCUAAUAACUUGUUAGCAGGACUCAUUUGCUCUCUUUCCAAAUUAAAGUGCCCUCCUGCAAACACCCUAAUUGGCCUAAAGGGUAUUAAGAAUGUUCACAUGCAAACUUAAUUGUCCAUUAACAUGACUCAUUUGCUUUUAUUUCAAAAAUUACCUGCCUUCACAUCACCACCUCAGGCUGCCUGGAGGAACCUGACUGGCCUCGUUCUGGCGGCUAAAAUUAAAUUCAGAUUAAUUUAGAGUAUUCUUGCAGACACAAAGUUAAUCCCUGUGCUGCAGUCAGACUACUUUUCAGUUGGGUUGGGUAGAUAAUCCACUCCCAGCCCUCGACAGUUAUGUGUGAGUGUGCAAAUGUUCAGUGCAUCAGUGGGGCUGAGCUCAAUUGUGGGCUUCUUUUUCCCCCGCUGUGUGUGUUUACGUGUGUGUUCUGGUGUGAGUGCUGGUCUCUGUGCUGCUGUUGUUUGUAUGCAGAUAAACAGAGGCGGCUUUAGCAGCUACUUAGCGAGCCCUCUGAUGUCCCCGGCUGUGUGUGGUAAUGCUGACACAGUGAACUGCGGCCACUCAGACACAGAUAUUCUGAAUGAAUGCACGUCGAGUCAAGGACGCCUCACAAAUAGGUGUUUACUCUUUCUCCCCCUCCAUUUCUUCCCCUCUUUUGCCUCUCCCUCCCCUCUAAUUUAUUCCAUUUUCUUCUCCCCUUGCCUCCCCCCCCUCCCUUCUGCCUCUUUAUCUCAUUCUCUGACUUAAUUUCUCUGUCUGAUUUUCUCUAUCACACGCAGGCACAGUGAGAUGCUGCCGUGCCACAAAAGACAGCGAGAGCACCCAAGCCAGCCUCCUCCUCAGUUCACCGCCAGUUCACUCGGCUCCACACUGACAGAAAUGAUGCUAGACGGGAAAUGCAAAUUUGACAAUGACAGCCACAAAUGUUAACACCACUCCUCAAAAAAGUUCAGGUACCAAUUUGCAUCCACUUGAAAGAGUAACUCCAGACUUUUUUCGACAAGGGUCUGCAUUAUUCUCGUCUCGGAGGAACGCACUGCUCACUUAGUCUGGCGAGCUGAUAAUAUGCUGUCAUUUUGAGCUGACUCAUAUGUCCCAGGAGCCUCAAAAGCAUCUAUAUAUAUUGUUAGACUUUAUAAAAACAAAAACAGUUCAUUUAUGAAAAAAAGCACACUAAGUGACAUCUCAUCCCUCCCUCGAAAAGUGCAUUCUGGGACGUAUAGUCCCUGCAGGAGUUCACGCAGUCCCUUUGUAAUGUCCUUGUGUAAACUUUAAUCCAACUAAGUUGAUGGAUUGCUCCCGUCAUCUUUUACAGCGUGGACGGCUGGUAAUCUGGUUGGCUGACAGGCUGGUUUACAGGCUGUUUCAUGAGCUAAAGAAAGUGUGGAGGAAAGGCAAGUUGUCCUUGUCAUGUGGAGUGUUUUUUUCUGUUGGACUGUGCCCUUAGACAAGAAUGUAAGAAUCCCUGCUGAGUUACACAGCCUCUAUCAGUCUCCCUCAUACUCUCUACUUUGACUUCCUCCUCUGUCACUUAUUCUUUUUUUCUCUCCCCUUCCUCUGUCUUUCUCUCUCUGUUUCAUGAAUAGCUAUCUGUCAGUGUUUACACUAUCAGUUUCCUUGCACCAAUGCAGUGUGCCUGUCACAGUUGGGAUGCCUAUCUGUCUUCUUCUUCCUCUGACUAUUUUCUCAUGAUCUCUGGCUGCCUCUCUGGCUGGCUGCGUGUCCAUUUCGAUUUCUCUCUCUUUCUCUGUAUGUUUCUCUGUCUGCCUCUUCCUCCCACUCUCCACCUCUCUCUGUCUGCUGCAAAUCCGCCUGAGCAUAAAUGUGCUAAAGUGUCUUCUUCCCGUUGCAUUUUUGUAAAUAGCUGUUCUCUUCCUGUUUCUCGACACUAUAGUUUCUCAUGCCCAUAAUAGCUCAUUUAUCAGCCCUUCUUCUUUCUGCAGGUGUGCACUCACUGCUUCCAUCACUCCCUGACUGAGUCACUGUCUCGCAGAGUCUCAUGAGUUCACCUGAUCUCUGUGAGAGUUUGCUGCUCGGGAGGGUUUCACUCCUCAGGUUUCCUCGGACUUGUAUUGGGAUGAUGAUGAUUUAUUACAUUUUGAGAGGGUUUUGAAUUACUCUGCUCGUUCUUUGUGUUAUCACGCUCAUUCACCUUGCAUCACGAAUGGCAGAGGAAGGUUAAAUCAGGAUUCCUGGGAUGGAAAAGAAACUUUUGAGUGUUAUCUAGUCUGUUGCAGAUUGUAAUUUUAAACACAAACUUGCAGCUUGCAGCUUUUAUCAACUCUGUUGGGAAAAAUAUCCUCACUAUUAACUGAACUCAGCUCAGUUUUUCACGAUCUGGCCUUCGGAUAGGCCGCAUAAAUCAGCUGAUAUCACGGAAAGGCAAUAUGAUUUGUACACAGUAUAUUUUGAUGGAUGAAUCUUGAUUAUUUUGCCCUGCCUGUGUGUGCGUUUCCCCCAGCUUGUAUCCCUCGGUAUCCAUGUGCUCAUGUAUCUGUCUGUGCAUCUGUGUCAGUGUUUGUCUGUUUACACACACACAGCAUGUGCCUGCCUCUGUGUGUAUGUACAGUGUGCACAUUUACCCAUACUGCACUGAUUUGCCUCUGAGUGUGUCAUGUUAGGUUUUUCUAGUCAGCCCUGCCAGGACAUCUCUAGUAGUUGACAGGAAAUUCCCUAUCAACCACCAAGACCAUUGUAGCCAUUGUCCCAAACUUGGGUGCCAUAAAACUCAAUUUCCCAUGGAGGAGGGGGAGGGGGGGUGUUGAUGGUGGUGUUGGUGAUGGGGGCAUUUUGAAGUCCAAAUGUUCUUAUCUCAUGCACUAUUAAGCGAGGCAGUGGGGUGUGUGGGUAACGUGGUUUAGAGUCCGUCUGUCACCGCCUCGGGGUAUAUUGCUUUGAGUGCACACACACACACACGCACGCACGCACGCACGCACACACACACACACACAUUUGCAUGCCCAGUAUGAACAUAUACAUAUGCAUAAACACAGGCAGUAAAACACACAUGCACACACACCGAGCUCUCUCACUCAUUUGGCCAUUAACACACACAAACAUGCACACUGCCUCAGGCUCUAGCUGUGGUCCUAUAACGGCCUGGGUGCCGGUCAGAGGGGUCGACUGAGACUUUCACUUCAUUAAUCACAUCUGGGAAGCUAGCAGCUUUUAUGUAUAUGUUUCCAUAUGUAUUCACCCUCUAUUCAACUUUGACUUGAGGGGAACUUGUGGACCUAAAGCUGUUCGUUGAUUAUUUAAUUAGAUGGACAAAAUAAUGUAAUUGAGAAAAUAGUACAUAUGUAUAAACACUUGUUUAACAUUAUGUGACUGUGCUCAGGGGAAUUCAGAGCAACAUGCGUCAUUUUAAAGACUUCUUUUUGUAAAAGUCUUUGAUUUUGUUGUUGUUUUUUUUUCUUGAAUAUUUAAAAUACAGUGCUUUAACACUCUGAUAACUUGUAGUUGAGCCUAUUUUUUUCUGCACUUUAGCUGCUUUGUGUAUUUUGUUUCCUUCAGCUAAUCAUACAUCUAGAUCUGUCACCAGACAACUGCUGUACAAAUGUGAAGUUGUUAUCAAUGAACUUUAUCCUACUGCAUCAUACUGUAAACUAUUGUACCUCAUCUCAUUGAAUUCUAUUAUAUUGUAUCAUAUUGUAUGACAAGCUAUCAUAUCAAAUCAUAUCGAAAGUCAACUCAUAAGUAACAUGAAAACAAGUGAUGUAUUUACUUUACAAGGAUAAUAAAGAAAAGUAAUAGCUGUCAACACCAAUUUAAUUACAAAACAUGUAAAAGGCUGUUUAUAAAAACAACUGGGAAUGGGGGUUGUCACUUCAUUUAUUGAUAAUGAUACCACUAUUGAGACUCUUUAACAACAUUGGUUGGAAAGUAAUUAUAUAUCACCGCCAAACACCCAAAACGGACAUUUCCUUUUUCUCGACACACUAUUUGAGUACAUCAUGAUAACGUUUUAGUAAUCUUUUCUCAAAAGUCCCUCAACCGAUCUGACCUUGAACACAUCCCCUUCUGCCACCUCUUUUAGUUGGCGAACUAGCUUUUAUUCUGAGAUAAACGUAAAAAGAUUGAUUACUUAUUUUACUUUACAGGUGUGGCUGACCAUGAAGUAGGAAGAUGACUAUACGAAAUGAGAGCAGAAACCAACAGAUGAACCACGCUGCUCCUUAGCUUUAGCCAUACGUCCUAACAUUUUUGAUUUUUCAAGUGUAUUUUUUAUCCCUGUUCCAGAUGAUAACCUAAAGAAGAUUUUUCUUUUUGUAAGUGCAAACACCUGACUGACACUGUACGAGGAAAGAGUGAUGAUAAAUGUCUGAAUUGUUUCAAGCCAUCUUAACUGUGUGCCUGUUUUUGUUUACUUGAAAUGUGGGGGUCACAUUAACUGGUCAGUCAGAGAAAAAACAAGACCUCAGAUGGACCAAAACCAGACACUAAGCACAGUAUCUCAUUUGGGGGGGAAAUAUUUUGACUUUUUCAGCACGCAAAUAUUCAUGAAAGCUCAUAAGCACUUAAUCUCCAGUCUCUAAGCUGCCCUCAGGGGGAUUUGUGUUUCCUCUCACUUUUUAUUGUAUUUGUUGAAAAGUGAUUUUAUAUUUGAGGCAUAUAAACACAACAAUAGAGAGCUUGGAAAAGAUUUGUAUUUCAGGAUUUAGUUUUUCAGAGAAUGACACUGUAACCUCUCUCUGUAUCUGCAAAGGACCUAAUUGUCUUGAUUAAUCUCAUUAAAGCACAGAAAGAAAAACAGUUUGACCUUACACAGCGUUGAAGUCAUUUAUCAUUUAUACGGGUGUAUCUCCAUCUACACAACACACACUUGUUAUCUUUGUUAUCUCUGAUCCACUAAAUGAUGAUGUGAAUGGUGUAACACCAUUUACUCUGUGCACAAACUGACUACACACACACACACACACGCACGCUGCCAUCGCACACCUUUAGCCUGACAGAGACUCCUGAGAGAGGCUUUGGCAGAGCAGUGUGAGGUGCUAUCCCAAAGCUUGCGGUGAAACUGAUGUCACACCAUUUCUAUUGUGUGCGUGUGUGUUUGUGUGUGUUUUGCCCUUGACUGUUGGCACUCCUGCAAGCUGGGAAAAAGGUAGAGGCUUUGCUUGCAAGUGUGUAUGUGUGACAAUUGGGCUGGAGUUGGAGAUUAGCCUAAUAGCUGCAACCAAACAGUCUUUCUCACAAAUUCCCCACACACACGCACACACUCAUGGUGUAUGAUGUCAGUCGUACUAUAAGCAACAAACUAACACCUAAGUAGCUGGCUUUAAUGGGGCAACAUCUAGUGGAGAGAGACUGUUAUGUGAGAUGUGUGUGUGGGUGUGUAUGCAUAUGACAGACAAAGAGAGACAGAGUAAGGAGGAGAGAGGGAGUAUUUGUGUCUCUUUGUGUCCAUGCCAGGAGAAGUGAUGUUUGAUGUGUGUCUGUGUGUGCAUAUGUGGGCCUGACAGUGGGUGAGGAGUGUAUUUGUGUCAGCACAAUUAACAUGAAGGCAGGGGCGAAAGGAAGUGAAGUAUGUCUGAGCAUAUGUGGGUGUGUGAGUGUGUAUGUGGAUAUUGUUUAUAUCUAUCCAUGCUAACUGUGUGCUACAGAGGGAGAAACUAAGGGGGAGAAAAAAGGCAUUCAUACUGUAUUAGCGGCCCCCUUGUGGUUAAAACUAUACAACAUUUCCUCCACUUGGCAAGUCAGAUUGAAAUAUGUGCAGCUUAAAUGUUGUGUUACCUGCGGGGGUCAUUCAUCAGUUAUCAAGCAACUUCUCUGGGGGAUUUUGUAUCCUGCUGACUUUAGUCUGAGCUCAGUCCAAAACUGUUGGCUUCAAACAUCUAAGCCUCAAAAACUUGCAGUCAAUUCUUCAGUUUCUUUUACUUUGUUUCCAGGUUAUCCAGGACUUUGUUUUUUGGACGGUGGCACAAAACACUUGUGCACAGUCCAUGCUUUUGCUGAGUGAGUAACACAGACUAUGACAGACUGUGUGUGAAGUGCUAAGUGAGCAGAAGACUCGACGACAGCCUCUCACAGCGUUCGCCAACAGCAUGUUGCCUUGGCAAAAGAACUGUCCUUUUUGCACAGCGAGCGGUAGCUGAUCAAAUGUGUUUGUGUGUCUGCGUCUGCUUAUGUGUGUGAGUGUGCGUUUCUCAGUUUGUUCUGAACACUAAGUAAAGUCUGAGGAUGCGAGUGGCUGCCUGCUCUGAUAAUGACAGAAAAAAGGUGUGGUUUUCUUGCAUUUGUGUUUCAACACCACUGUCUGUGUGCAUGCAUUCAAGCAUUUCAGCAUGAAUGCGUUGCACCCUGCUGAUCACAAUGGCUUGCAUUAAAGGCCCUCGAGAGAGUGAUAUCGGUGUGCCAUUUAAACUCAUCUAUCAGUUAAAACUACAGGGACAUCUCUGUACACACACACCCACACAAACACACUUCCCUAUUACUUAAAUAGCACGGGGAGGUGAGCAAAAUCUCCAGAUAGACCACUGAACUCUGAAGUGGAUUUAUCAACAGAACACUUUGCAGAGGCAGCGAGGGGAAGGAGGUGGCGGAGGAGCCGAGCAGGGAGAUGAACAGUUGAAAGUAGCAAUGGGGGUCUUUUCUAGUUGAAAGUUUACCUGAGAGUAAGUUUAGGAUCAAGGCUCAGCUGGCUGACUCUCAGCUGACCCAAGUCCAUGGGAGAGUAAAAGAUAAAAAACACAUCUAUUUCAAACUUGGAAGUUGUAAUCAAAGACUUUAGAGACAGAGACGGAGAAGGGAGGGGAGGAGGGGUGUGAGCAGAGGAGAGGUGGAAAGGGAGGUGAUGAGUCAGGGUGACUUUUAUCUUCGCUUUUAUGUUGCAGCCAUCCCUUAUGUCACGUUUUUUUUCCAUCAGACCUUGAGAAAAAUCUCUGUAAUCACACUUUGUGUUUGUCCAAAUUUUCUAUUUGGCAAACAAGAAAACAGAACAAGUACAGCACCCUAGUCAUUUAAGUAGCUCAGAUAAAGACCAGGAUUAUUGUUGAUCUGAUUAAAGCCUAGUGUGUUUAGGUUCUACGUGUCACAUCGAAUUUAACAGCAAUAAAGCUAAUGCAGGAGCACAUAAUAAACUGCAGUUCUUUAAAUGUCCACUUGAAGCUUGCUCCCAAGCUGAGGAAACCUCAGUCAAGCCCAAGUUAGAGUGGCUAUUUUUACAGUAGAAUCAAACACGUUUGGAGCCAGGAACAGGAACGGAUUCAGUCUGCAUAACUUAUUUCUUUACUUAUAACUCAAUUCUUUUGUCUAUACUAAAGCAAAGAGUCAUGCAUAAUUAGGCAUGAUUUUUGGGCAGGGCUUAAUUUGCUGACAUGUGGGCAUAUUGUUUGCUAGGCGGCAAGGCUACUCAACUCUAGUUUAAUUAGAAAUGCGUUGGCAACCCAACCUGGCAACCGCCAUCCUCCGGUUAUGGGUAGGGACAGCAUGCCCACACCAGCCUGAUGUACAGCUACAGGAGCAUUAUUUGUUUUACCAACAGAUGUGAUCGGAUACAUUGGUAUUUUAUCAAUCAGCAACACAUUCCUGGUUUAGGAGGAAGCAAGCCAGUAUGUCAUGCAUUAGACAGUCAGCACAGCAGCACAGUACAGUAAAGUGAUAUGUGAUUCUCUUAUGUUUCUAGAAAGGUGAGAUGCACCAGAUACAUGAAGGUUAAGUUGAUCAACUUGUGUGAGGCAACCUUUUUGAUUUUGUAAAUGUAAAAAUUAUAGAGGAAGCUCACUAUCAGUAGCACUUGGCAUGAGUAGCAUACAAGCAGUGUUUUGGCAGAAGUUAACUGUAAAGUUUGAUACAUUUAACAUGUAUUAAAAAUGUGUUAAACUGACGAUUUUCUGUCAAGAGUAUUACAUUACAGUCCUGGUACUAGCAAGUCAUUGAGUUUAUUGCCUGCAGUAGCAAAGCUGCACUGUUCAGUAAAUAAUACGUAAUGAUAAACCUGUUUAGCAGGAGGUAAGCCCAGUCGUAAAGUCAGAUUAGCAGCAUUGUUCCCACAAGACUGCCUUUCCAUGAUGUUUGCAGUUGUAGAGUCUGUAGGUAAACAUUCCUUACAGAAAUACACUGCCAUUAUUCAGUGAGCGCAGCACACGCACAACUUCCCUCUUAAGGAGGUGAGACAUGAAACCAAAAUGGCCAUCUGUAACUGAAUAUAUUCCACCUUAAAUAUGCCCAGGUCUCCCUCUGACGUUAAUUAACCACCUUUCAGCCUCAUCACUAUUUUGUAACAGUAUCCCAAGCCUGUCUGUUCAAUUAAUUAAGCCCCAAAGUUGCCAUCACAGCCAUAUUCUCAAGGAUGUCUCGAGGCUGCUUAUAUCAUGGAAUUUUUUUUCACCACAGCCCUCUAAAUUUGGAUGAGCAGGGCCUAAUUAGAGGCUGAAUUUGGUUGCGUGGCUUUGGCUGCACCCCUGAGUUUUUCUCCAGCCUUAAAGCACACCAGAGGGGCUGUGUUGGCGUCUCAGCAGAAUUAAGAGCAUACCCGCACAUGUGUUGAAUCAGCUCAUUGGCCUGAAUGUUUUUUCUCCUGCCGCUUUUCAUUUCAUGCUAUGAAAAUCUGAUAAUGCAUGUAAGGAAAGCAUUCCUGUUUGUGUGUGAAUGAAAAAUAGACCAAUGAAAGGCAAGACCUUACAAAAUAUAUAUAGAGAGAAAAGCAAUAUGUAGUCUUCCAUAUUUGCAAAAUAAGUGCAAUGAGAUUUUUGGCAACACAGUAAUGAGAUACUCCUGCCAUAAUUUAGAUUCAUCAGAUUUUAUAGCUAGUCCAUGUUUGGGACUGGCGCAAUUAUGCAUCCACUCUCCAAAAACACAUCUAUGAAAUAUCUCAUGAAUGAUGCCUCCCUGUCUCAUGAGCUUCAAUAUUUGAAGUGUUGGUCUCAUGGGAUGUUACUUUCCACUUACAGUGUAUCUGCAGUGCCAGAAGCAAAGAGCCUGAAGUUGAGCCUAUUAAAUAGAUCCAAGUUUUCCCCAGGCCUGUGUUGAGUCCAGCAGGGUUUUAUGAGGGUAUAUUUCACUGACUCACUGGCACAGCUGAGCAGGGAAAUCCUUCUCUUCACGGUCUAGUUGGGAUGACUGAUGCAAAUAUGCUGCUGCUGAGUCCAGACACUGACACCAUCAUCACACUGACCCAGUUUGAGAGAGAGAGAGAGAGAGAGAGAGAGAGAGAGAGAGAAAGACACAGUAAAAGAGAGAGAGAGAGAGGGUGAAAGAGAGAGAGAGAUGUUCUGAGUCAUUUGUGACUUAUAUUUAUAUCUUUGACUCCACAUGUUUUUAAGUAGUUCCAACACAGUAAAAACCUUCGAGCCAUGCAUGGAAGCUUUAUGGUGCAGGGAGGAAGAUGAGAUAUAAUCCAGGUCAUCUAGGGAGUAAGCACAAAGUGACAGGACAUUUUUCUAGACAUGCAAGGAAAAAAAGGCAGCUUCGGAUCAUUUAUAAUCCUUUUUUUAACAAAAAUAUAUAUUCUGUGCAAGGCAUAUGCUAUUUCCAUACGCUGUACUUUCCUCGAUGACAUGUGUGGUCUCUCUUAGCUAUACAUUAUGUACCAGUGAGUGUUUGGACAUUGAUACUUUUGGGUUUUCAGGAUUUUUGCAACAUUCAAUCUUUUUGUUUAAAGACCGUUUGUGCCAUAUUGUAUAAAGUCAACAACUGCACAUUUGUUGUUGUUGUAGUUUUCCUGAUCUGGAUCUCUAGGGAGGGGAUAAGGGCCUAUGUCCACCAACAGUGUUUUUCACUCUGGCAGCACCCCAAAUCUUAAUUU
This 22325-nucleotide long non-coding RNA is filed under the name Xyrichtys novacula (pearly razorfish). The record is from RNAcentral. Lineage: Eukaryota; Metazoa; Chordata; Actinopteri; Labriformes; Labridae.